Acanthosepion pharaonis is the source of this 98-nucleotide non-coding RNA. The record is from the annotation of a GenBank genome assembly. NCBI's taxonomy places the organism in Eukaryota, Metazoa, Mollusca, Cephalopoda, Sepiida, Sepiidae.
UUGAAACACCAAUUCCCGUACGAUCAUUGAAGUCAAGCAACUUCGAAUCUGGUCAAUACCUGGAUGGGUGACUGCUUGAGAAUACUAGGGGCUGUAAG